RNAcentral lists this ribosomal RNA (387 nucleotides) under uncultured bacterium. Its description in RNAcentral is "bacterial SSU rRNA". It matches the Rfam family "Bacterial small subunit ribosomal RNA", at positions 29 to 416 of the family's 1533-position model. The record is from RNAcentral.
AUUGAACGCUGGCGGCAUGCCUUGCACAUGCAAGUCGAACGGCAGCACGGGAGCAAUCCUGGUGGCGAGUGGCGAACGGGUGAGUAAUAUAUCGGAACGUGCCCAGUCGUGGGGGAUAACGUAGCGAAAGCUACGCUAAUACCGCAUACGAUCUAUGGAUGAAAGCGGGGGAUCGCAAGACCUCGCGCGAUUGGAGCGGCCGAUAUCAGAUUAGGUAGUUGGUGAGGUAAAGGCUCACCAAGCCGACGAUCUGUAGCUGGUCUGAGAGGACGACCAGCCACACUGGGACUGAGACACGGCCCAGACUCCUACGGGAGGCAGCAGUGGGGAAUUUUGGGACAAUGGGCGCAAGCCUGAUCCAGCAAUGCCGCGUGCAGGAUGAAGGCC